UUGUGUUAAUUUAUUCAAUGUUGGAGUAAACUAUCAGUAUGUUUGAAUAGAAAUAAUUGUGUGUUAAACAUGUUAACUUACUUUGGAUAAUUGACAAACUGUUUAGGCGGAUAAUAAUAAAGUUAUACAAAAGCGUGGCGUAUAGUCAUCUGGCGAAUAGAUUUUGGGCGGGAAUUUUCUAGUAGAUCACCUUAGCAUGUUUUGUUUUUUUUUUAAUCGUACAACAUUUUAACGACUUUAAAAAUAGAUUUCUUUGAUGGUUUUGUUUUGUGAAUGUCUCUAUUCUACUGUAGCAUCUCGUAAUUUAGGCCCGAUGACCAAGCCAGACGAAUGGUGUUACACUUCUCUUUUUACAAUAAGGCGAACCUGUCAUCCACUAGAAUUAUGCCAUGGUUAGUCAUGGACCUUCGACUCCAAUGAGUCAUUAAACAUUCUCAUUGUAUCGCUCCAUAAAGCUAGUGUACAGCCCAAAUUUUCCCGGGCCUCCAAACCAAAUGGUCCAAAUCCAUUUACAAAAUUUUAACCCAAUCCUGAAGCCUAAUUACAAUACCCGGCCCAAAGCCCAACAGCCCCAAAAAAACCUAAUGGUCAAACUAGGGUUUUAGUUUUCUGAAACCCUAAUCUCUACUGUAGGUGGCCGCUAGUCCCAUCAUCACCCUACCUCCGCGCCAUCGACCCUGGUCACCUCAGCCACCUGCUUUCUGCCCACCUGCAAAACGAAAAAGAACACGCAAUGGCAGCCCAAAUAGCAGAGAAGCAAUAACAAACAGAGAAAAAGCAAAUAGGCAUUUUGGCUAUAAAAUCAAGAAAUUCAAUGUAAUCAGGGGGCAAAAUCACUGUAAUCGGGGGUAUUUUUCUUUUAUUUUGUUCUUCUUUUCUUUCGGUUAAAACCGAAUCUGCUGUAAGGAAGAAGAAGUUAUUCCUUUGCUUCUACGAUUAUUGAGAAAUAAAAACAAAAACAAAACAAACUUUUGAAGUUUUUUUUUUUUAGAUUUGCGUUUAUGUUUAUUUCAUUUUAUUUUAUUUUUAUUUUAUUUUCUACAUAAGAAAUAAAUAAUAAAAAGGGAAGGACGAGGACUUACCUGCGCCGUCGCCGGACCUAAAUCGGAAAGAGGGUGGGUUGAGUCUCUCAUCUUCGCUUUUAGGGAUCGAAAAACCCAUAUAUUUAGGUUCAUAUUAGAGCUCGGAAAUAGGGGACCUCCUCUCGCCGUGUCGGCCUUUGGCAGGGGUGACUGCACGGCGAAUCGCCGUCAAGGUUGGCGCCGGAUCUCAGAGGGCCAAAAGGGAUGGAGGCUCUGCUUUUUUUUUUAUUUUUUUGAGGCUGCUGAAAUAAACUAGGGUUUUUUUAAGGGAUUUUAAAAGCUUCAUUAAACGGCGCCGUUUUGGUGUUUGGCCCGUGACCCGACCCAAUGGCCCCUAGGAUCCGCGUGUUUCUGCGGUGAGGGGAUAUUUUGCGCGCAAGGCCCUUCCUCUUUGAGCUGUAGUGCAAUCGGGUCUUUCUGGUUUUUAUAUUUUGGCCGCAUAAUUUUUUGAUAGUUCCAUUUUUGUCCGAAAUGGAACACUGAGCUUGAGGGAGGGGAAUAUUUCCUAAUCGAUCCCUCAUCCCUUAAGCGUGUUUCAUUUUAGCCUCAAAUUACCCUUUUUACUUAUUUAUGUUUCAACCCCCAAAGUUCACCUUAAGUUUUAAUUUAAUCCUUUUGUAUUUUGUUUAUUUUCCUAUUAAAUAAUAAAUUUGAUGUUAUACUAUUGUUAAUUAUUAUUGCUGUUACUUGCUCAUUUAUACCUUUAAAAUUUUAAAUUUUAUCAUAUAUAUAUAUGUAUAUCUUUAUCUUUAUUUUUUAUAUUUUCAUAUUUUAUAAUUUGUAUCUAUGUAUCUAUAUACAUACUUUUAUUCCUAUAAAAAUAUACGCAUACCUAUAUGUUCUACAUUUUCAUAUAUUUUUACACACAUAUAUUUUUAUGCUUUAUAUUUCUAACAUACGUACAUAUAUAUAUAUAUAUAUUUUUAUAUAAUUUUAUUCAUUAUUAUUGUUUCACUUGGUGUUCAUUUAUUUAUUUAUUUACAUGCUCAUUAUUAUUAUUAUUUACUUAAGUGUUUUAGUUUGUAUUCGCAAAUCUACUUUUAUUUGUGUAUACAUUGUUGAUUUCUUUUUAUUAUACAUUUACCAUCUUAUUUAUCCUUUUUAUUUGCAUGUAUUAUUUUAUUUACAUUAUCAUCAUCAUUCCAUUACCCCCAUUUUUUUUAUUUAGAUUUAAAAAAAAUUUAAAAAUAUAAGUAAUAUUCGGUAUUUAGGAUCUUCGAGAGAAUCGAGCCCUAACGUAUUGAGUUUCGACUUUCUGCGUUGAAUUUAAAUAAUCGAGAUUACUCUUUUAAAAAUGAUAAAAAGCUCGUUAUCGAGAAUUCAAUACAUUGUGUCCUAACGCAUUGGACGUGACACGUUGUUUUCUCGAGACGAAGAUUUUUCGAAAUAAAUGCAAUAUUCAAUGUUUAAUAUUUUGAGAAAUUGUGCCCUAACGUAUUAGGUUGUGAUUUCUUCAUUUGAUUUAAGCAAUUAAAUAUUAUUUUAAACUUUAUUACACGAAUAUUUUCAAACUCAAGUAUUAAACGAUAUUGGGAUUUAAAAAAGGAUCAUGUCCUAACUUACUGGUCGUGAUCCUUUUUUUUAAUCCAAAAUAGUUAAAUAUCUUUUAAAUAAGUAAAUUUUUGACAUUUAUUCGUGUAUUAGGAAUUCGAGACAUUGUGUCCUAACUUACUGGAUAUGAUGCUUGUUUUUUCGAUUAACGUGAAAUAUGCCCCAUUUUCUCAAAAUUUUCAACAUUUUAAUUCAAGGAUCGUAUUUUUAAAAUUCUUCAAAGUUUUCAAUUUUCGACAUUAAGACGUCAGCUAAUCAACUAGGUACCAAUUUUGGGCGUUACGAGGGUGCUAAUCCUUCCUCGUACAUAACCGACUCCCGAACCCGUUUUUCUGAAUUUUGUGGACCAAACUUGUUGUUUUAAUAAAAUCAAAUCAUUAUUAAAACAACCACUUUUCGAGGUGAUCCGCUCACACCUCAUAAAAAAGGAUCGGUGGCGACUCCCAUUUUCGUUUUCAUUUUUCAAAACCCAAGUCGACCCCAUUUUUGUCAAAAAAUAGUGUCAACAGCUUGGCGACUUCGCUGGGGACCAAAAUAAGUGAGUCAAGCCACGAGUUGAUUAAUCUUUAUCUUUUUGUCGAAAAUCGAAAACUUGGUUUAAAUAUACGAUCCUUUCGUUGCAUUUCACUCAUCUUUAUUACGAUAUUCAUCAUGGUGGUUUAUAAUUGCCCUGUUUGUUUAAAUUUGUGUAUCUUUCUGCACAUUGCAUUGCAUGACCGUUGGUCACACCCUUUUAAGUGGGAGUGAGAAGCUACGCCUUCGUGAGGUUUUCACCUCCGCAUGGGAUAGUGAAUCACUUUCGGGAUAUAUCCGUACCUAUGUCUUAGUGAGAUUUUCAUCUCCGCAUGGCCAUAGGGAAAUGUAUCCCCCUGAACUGAACCCAAUCUAUAUGACCCUAAUCGGUGAGGAUCGAGGAAUAUGCUGGUUCGGGUACCCUUACUUUAGAACCAAACCUCAUGUAGUGAACCUUAGGAGCCCACCCUAGGUAAAACCACUUCGAACCCUUAGUGGUCACCCGAAUAGGUGUUCUAUUUAUUCUUGCUUGAUUUUGCUUUGGACUAACUUGUUUUCUUUUUUUUUAUGACUGCAUUGCAUUUUCAUCAUAGAAAAGAGGUGUUGAUUCAAAUUUGAUUGCUAAAUAGAAAAGCUUGUCAUGGAAAACGAAUUUCUUGAUAAAGUAGGAUAUGAUGCGACUGCCUGACUAUGGACUGAUUAAACACAACGAGAGAAGGCUAGAAGUCCUUGGAGGAAUAUACGACUAUGCUUUGCCACUUGAGGAUUCAAACCGACAAAGAUAAUUUGAAACCAGUCACGAAACUAAAGAGCAUCGUGGGGGAGCAUUGGGUUGUAGCUCGGAUCAAACAAGAAGGAGAUAGUAGAGACAGAUUUUGGAAAUUCGUAAGAUUUGAUCUUAGCAUUCAUAUAAAGAAGGAGAUCAAUGUAUUCGCCUGGAAUAUGAGGGUAAAGCCACAUAUGUAAUCUAUUUUAUGUAAAGAAAUUUGUCUUCUAGAAAAGUUGCUCUAAUAGAAUUGAAUUCAGAAUCAAUGCCUCUCUUUCUUUUUGUAUUCAUUUCAUGCAUUUGUAUUACAGUGCAUCAUUUGCAUUAGAUUUUCACAAAAUGACCUAAUUAGGUAAAAUUAUUUCAGCUAACCUGGAAACUAAUAAGAGUCAACCAAUCGAACAUCACUACGGUACCCGUCUCAAGAGAAAAGUAAUGGAUUAGAGGUUAGAAAGAUUGGAACAAUUGCAAAAAGAAAUGCAAGAUAAGAUGCAAGAACAAUUGGAUAAAAUCCAACAAGACGCGCUGGAAUCCCAAAGAAUUAUGAGCCAACUGACACAAUUAUUGGCUGAUAAAGGAAAGAGCCCUGUAAUCAAUUCGGGAUUUGAUCAGGAGGGCCCUGUUUAUCCUCCAAGUUUUGCCCCAACGGACACUCAAGCACAACCGGAUAUGUAUCCACAUAGAGCGCGUGAUCGCAUUAGACCUCAAUGCCAAGUCGGUGCCUCGGCACCAAUGAACUACCUGACAGGCUCAGGUUCCAAUCAAAGGAACGAUCCAACCAAUCUUGUAGUUCCUGAUUUAGACAAAAUGGUAGAAGCAAGGGUAGAACUACCAAAGCAAUUCAAAGAUCAGUUUAGGUGGUUGGAAGAAAAACUCAAAGCAAUGGAGAAUGCUGAUUACCCUUGCAGGGUUGACGCCAAGGAUCUAAGUUUGGUCCCAAAUCUAGUACUCCCGCUGAAAUUCAAGGCUCCAGAAUUCAAAAAAUACAAUGGGACUAGUUGUCCUGAAGCUCACAUCACGAUGUUCUGCCGAAGAAUGACAAGAUAUAUUGAUAACGAUCAACUGUUAACUCAUUGCUUCCAAGAUAGUCUGAUCGGGUGGGCUGCCAAAUGGUACAACCAGUUGAGCCAUGCCAAUAUCCACUCAUGGAAAGACUUGGUACAGGCUUUCAUGAAGCAAUAUGGCCACGUGACAAACAUGGCACCUGACAUAGUUACACUACAGAACAUGGAAAAGAAGCAAAGUGAGAGCUUCAGAUAAUAUGCCCAAAGAUGGAGAGAGGUAGCAACGCAAGUCCAACCACCUCUUCUGGAAAAAGAAACCACGGUGCUUUUCGUCAACACUCUGAAAACCCCAUUCAUUAACCACAUGUUGGGAAGUGCUACCAUGAGCUUCUCAGAUAUGGUAAUGUCUGGCGAGAUGAUUGAGAAUGCCAUAAGAAGUGGAAAGAUAGAUACGAAAGAAAGCUUCAAAAGAUCAACCCCAAAGAACAAAGAAAAUAAAGUAAGCAACCUGAGCAUGUAUAAUGAAGGGUAUCCCAAAUCGAUCAUUAUGCCCCAACCAAGGGUCAUAACUAUCGGCUAUCACAGUAUUAAAAUCGUAUCCAAAAAGGGGGUUGGUUAGGAGAACACUUGGAAGCGUAUUUAAUAGUAAGACUAUGGAAGAGAUCCUUGUAUUUUUUGAGCUAAUUCGGAGUAAUGUCCAAAACACGCUUAUUGCUCUAAGCCUAGGGGCAAUAAGAAUCCUUUUGUGAGAUAGGCUUAUGUCGAACAUCUUUAUUUCAAUAAAAUGCAUCUUUGUUUCUCACUUCGAGUAAAUAUUCUUUUAUUGUUUCCAUUUCAUUCAUAAUCAUACUAUACAGAUAAAUAUUCGUAGAUUCUUUUAUUCUUUGGAUCUACUUUUAUCCUAUAACAGGUCUCCAGGUAUCAAUGAUAUGAGCAACACUGAUAUUGACUCAGAACCUCCUUUUGAGCAGGAUAUGUGUCUAGAGGAACCUCGGGACUUUGGAGAUAACUGAGACUAUAGCUUAUCUCCUGAUUUGUUCCGGAUGGUAGAACAAGAUCCUACCUUACAAGGAAUCUAUGGAAGUCAUGGCAUUCCUCUAUGUGGGGCAUGGAUGUCAUUGAGCCAAUCUCGCCUAAGGUUUUUGGCGAUCAUCAAUUCAUCUUUAUGAUCGUCGAUUAUCUCAAUAAGUGGGCAAAAGCUACUUCAUAUGCCGAUGUCACAAAGUCAACGGUCAGCAAAUUCCUGAAAAAGAAAUCAUAUGUCAGUAUGAAAUACCGAAAAGGAGCAUACCUGACAAUGCACUAAAAUUGAACAACGGCACGAUAUCAGAAGUUUGCAAUCUGUUCAAGGUUAACACAUUUCGCCCCAAAAUGUACGGCGCAGUGGGAGCAAAGAUAAAACAAAAAAGGAAGAGAAAAAACUGUUACCAAGGCAACACCUUGCCUUAUCGUAGUUUUUCUCAUUGAGGUCAAGAUUUUUUCUCUCCGAGUGUCGAAUCAGAUCUUGAUUGAAAAGAAAUGUUCAAAGUUAUCCGUCUUGGUCAAAGGCACCAAAAAAAAAAGACGCGAGCUCAUCAGAGAAGGUUCGCCCUAGAGAGUUCCAUGAAGGAGACCUAACAUCGAAGAAAAUCCUCCCCAUACAAAAAGGGCUUUAGCAGAAAGAAGAUGUCAAACUGAAAAAGACCUUAUGUGGAAGGUUUUAUCUAGAGAAGUGUUGAUUUUGACCAGAAAGGAUAGCAAGGACUUACCUGAUCCUACGAGUUCGAAUUCAAUCAAAGAAUGCAAAAAGAAAAAGAAAAAGAAAAAGAAAAAGGAGAGGCCAAGGUGAAAACCCACAAAGGGCGCCUUGAGACCAAAGGGGUUUUGAAUUGAAAACCCGGGAAUAGGCAAUUCAAAUUUUGAUCAAAGGUGGGGCAUGUGGCAACUUGUUCUCCCUGAAUUAGCAAGAAGGUGAGACGCUACAUCUCGGGGCAUCAACACAUUCUUCUAGGACUUCUAGACACAUAUCAAGUUCAAAAGGAUCCUCAAGAAGUUUGGGGCAGAGAAGCUCAUACUACGAUACCUGGGAUACCUACUUUCAUUUUAUUCAUUGUCAUAUUUUGACAAGUACAUCAUCUUGAUUAAUUUGCUAUCAUUUUUGUAUCUUAGCAAAAUUUGCUAUCUUGAUUAUUUAUUCAUUUCGAGCUUUGCCCUCAAUAAAAUUUCAUCUUAUCCAUUGUGAUAAUUUAAUUCAUUUCGUAUCUUAGCAAAAUUUUCCAUCUUAAUUUUAAGCUUUAUUCUCAAUAAAAUUCCAUAUUAUCUAUUGUGAUAAUCCUUUUCAUCAUAUUCAUUUUGAAUCUUAGCAAAAUUUGCUAUCUUGAUUAAUUUAUUCAUCGCGAGCUUUGUUCGCAAUAAAAUUUCAUCUUGUCCAUUUUGAUAAUUUUUUUCAAGCAUUUUUUAUUGAAAUAAUGAUUAAUGGACUGAUAAUAUUCAAGCAAAAGGAGUUUUUCAUAUUACUCUGAAAGCUUCUAAAUAAUACAGGAACCUGAAACAGGACUAUUGUUUAGAACACACCAAGUUUAAAGGUUGAAAUGUCUAAGAAUAAAAAGUCUAAAUUAAGACUAUCCUUUUAGAUUUUUUUUUUCAAGUAUGGGUUGAACGAAACGACGAAAUGUCGUGUUGGUGACAAAGCUUCAAUGAACAAACAAGCAAUGAUCACCGAGUGAUAAAAAGAGGUUAUUGGAAGAGAAAAUUCCACAAUGUUGCAUAAAAAUUUGGUACAACACCCUGGGAAUGGUGUAGAAGACCAAAGAGAUUUAGAUCCUGUAUCCCUGAAUUACAGUAGGAGAGGAUUGAGAAAGAGCCAGAUCUUAUACUCAGUGGGAGGAAGAUGGCUCGAACUUUAUGUCCCAAAAUUAUCGUGGGCUUAACCUUGAAGAUUACGACAGAUUAAACUUUGAAAAUUAUAGUAGGGGCAAUCCGAUCAAGUAAAAGAUGAGCAUUACCAACUGGACAAAAUAGCAUUUGGACAUGUUGGCAAUAAAGCCUUAUUGAGCAAUGGGCAAUAACAACUCAAACAUUGAAAGAUCAUUUUCAUUUUGCAUUCAUACAUACAUAUUUAGCCAGGAUAUUUUGAUUCAUUUCGAUCAUAAUCACUAGGCAUAAAUAGGUUCAUAAAAUAGAUUAUAUAGGUCAUGUUCCCCAAAGAACAGAUCAAUGAAGACGGCAGAUCUUGCCUUCCUGAACUGACAGUGAGGCAGAUCGAAGAAACCAUAGUUUGUAAUUAAAAGAUUGAAGCCACAACGGCGAAUCUUACUCUCCUAGGCGGUGCAAUGGAACAGAUUGAAGCCACAACGGCGAAUCUCACUUCCCCGACAUUGUAAUUAAAAGAUUGAGGCCACAACGGCGAAUCUUACCUUCCCAGGCGAUGUAGUGGAACAGAUUGAAGCUACAACGGUGAAUCUUGCUUCCCCGACACUGCAAUUAAAAGAUUGAAGCCACAACAGCAAAUCUUACUUUCCCAGGCGGUGCAGUGGAACAGAUUGAAGCUACAACGGUGAAUCUCGCUUCCCCGACAUUGCAAUUAAAAAUUGAAGCCACAACGGUAAAUCUUACUUUCCCAGGUGGUGCAACGGAACAGAUUGAAGCUACAACGACAAAUCUCGCUUCCCCGACAUUGCAAUUAAAAGAUUGAAGCCACAACGGCAAAUCUUACUUUCCCAGACAGUGCAAUGGAACAGAUUAAAGCUACAAUGGUGAAUCUUGCUUCCCCGACAUUGCAAUUGAAAGAUUGAAGCCACAACGGCGAAUCUUACUUUCCCAAGUGGUGCAGUAGAGCAAAUUAAAGCUACGACGGUGAAUCUUACUUCCCCGAUAUUGCAAUUAAAAAUAUUGAAGCUGCAACGGCGAAUCUUACUUCCCUGGCAGUACAGUGGAGCAGAUUAAAGCUACGACGGUGAAUCUUGCUUCCCUGAUUUUGCAAUUUAAAAGAUUGAAGCCGCAAUGAAGAAUCUUACUUCUCUGGCAGUGCAAUGGAGCAGAUUAAAGAUACGACGGCAAAUCUUGCUUCCCCGAUAUUGCAAUUUAAAAGAUUGAAGCCGCAAUGACGAAUCUUACUUCCUUGGCAGUGUAGUGGAACAGAUUGAAGCUACAACGACGAAUUUUGUUUCCCCGACAUUGCAGUUUAAAAAGAUUGAAGCUAUAUAUUGCAGAUAUUAUAUCUUUGAAGUUGCAGUAGAGUAGAUCAUAUCAAGUCUUAUCUCCCUGAAGUUGCAGUGGAGCAGACUGAAGAAACUAAUCCUAUCUCCCUAAAGUUGCAGUGGAGCGGAUUAAAAUCACAGAUCUUAUCUCUCUAAAGUUGCAGUAGAGUAGAUCACAUCCAAUCUUAUCUCCCUAAAGUUGCAGUGGAGCAGACUGAAGAAACUAAUCCUAUCUCCCUGAAGUUGCAGUGAAGCGGAUUAAAAUCACAGAUCUUAUCUCUCUAACGUUGCAGUAGAGCAGAUCACAUCCAAUCUUAUCUCCCUGAAGUUGCAGUGGAGCAGAUUGAAGAAACCAAUCAUAUCUUCCUGAAGUUACAGUGAAGCGGAUUAAAAUGAUAGGUCUUAUCUCUCUGAAGUUGCAGAAGAGCAGAUCACAUCAGACUUUAUGCAGUAAAGCAAGUCGAAAAUACCAAUCGUGUCUCCCUGAAGUUGCAGUGGAGUGGAUGAAAACGAUGAAUCAUAUACCUCUGAAGUUGCAGUAGGUCGAAUUGGAUCAAACCUUAUCUCCCUGAAGUCGCAGUGGAGUAGGUUGAAGAUACAAGUCUUAUCUCCCUGACGUUGUAGUGGAGCAGACUAGAACCACAAACAUCGCCCCCUUAAAGUUGCUGCGAAGAAGAUUGAAGCUACAAGUCAGAUCUUUCUGAAGUGCAGUGAAGUAGAUCGAAACAAUAAGACAAAGUGGACUGGAAGGAUGCUACUUGAAGAGAAGCGUCAAGAGAAGUCAAGACUCGGCGAGACCGGGAAAAUUUGGUCUUUCUUAGUCUUUGCUUCAUUCCCGUUACACGACAAUGAAGCAAAGAGGGGCAGCUGUACAGCCUAAAUUUUCCCGGGCCUCCAAACCAAACGGUCCUAAUCCAUUUACAAAAUUUUAACCCAAUCUCGAAGCCCAAUUACAAUACCCGGCCUAAAGCCCAACAGCCCCAAAAAAACCUAAUGGUCAAACUAGGGUUUCAGUUUUCUGAAACCCUAGUCUCUGCUGCAGGUGCGCCGCCAGUACCAUCACCCUACCGCCGCGCCAUCGACCCUGGUCACUUCAGCCACCUGCUUUCUGCCCACCUGCAAAACGAAAAAGAACACGCAAUGGCAGCCCAAAUAGCAGAGAAGCAGUAACAAACAGAGAAAAAGCAAAUAGGCAUUUUGGCUAUAAAAUCAAGAAAUUCAAUGUAAUCAGGGGGCAAAAUCACUGUAAUCGGGGGGAUUUUUCUUUUAUUUCUUUUAUUUUGUUCUUCUUUUCUUUCGGUUAAAACCGAAUCUGCUGUAAGGAAGAAGAAGUUUUUCCUUUGCUUCUACGAUUAUUGAGAAAUAAAAACAAAAACAAAACAAACUUUUGAAGGUUUUUUUUUAGAUUUGCGUUUCUGUUUAUUUAAUUUAAUUUUAUUUUUAUUUUAUCUUCUACAUAAGAAAUAAAUAAUAAAAAGGGAAGGACGAGGACUUACCUGCGCCGUCGCUUGACCUAAAUCGGAAAGAGGGUGGGUUGAGUCUCUCCUCUUCGCUUUUAGGGAUCGAAAAACCCAUAUAUUCGGGUUCAUAUUAGAGCUCGGAAAGGAGGGACCUCCUCGCGCCGCGUCGGCCUUUGGCCGCGGUGACUGCACGGCGAAUCGCCGUCGAGGUUGGCGCCGGAUCUCAGAGGGCCAAAAGGGAUGGAGGCUCUGCCUUUUUUUAUUUUUUUGAGGCUGCU
RNAcentral lists this long non-coding RNA (10832 nucleotides) under Gossypium barbadense (sea-island cotton). RNAcentral's name for it is "long non-coding RNA (GBAR_LNC020720)". Lineage: Eukaryota; Viridiplantae; Streptophyta; Magnoliopsida; Malvales; Malvaceae. The record is from RNAcentral.